GACGAACGCUGGCGGCGUGCUUAACACAUGCAAGUCGAACGGAAAGGCCCUGCUUUUGUGGGGUGCUCAAGUGGCGAACGGGUGAGUAACACGUGAGUAACCUGCCCUUGACUUUGGGAUAACUUCAGGAAACUGGGGCUAAUACCGGAUAGGAGCUCCUGCUGCAUGGUGGGGGUUGGAAAGUUUCGGCGGUUGGGGAUGGACUCGCGGCUUAUCAGCUUGUUGGUGGGGUAGUGGCUUAUCAAGGCUUUGACGGGUAGCCGGCCUGAGAGGGUGACCGGCCACAUUGGGACUGAGAUACGGCCCAGACUCCUACGGGAGGCAGCAGUGGGGAAUAUUGCACAAUGGGCGGAAGCCUGAUGCAGCAACGCCGCGUGCGGGAUGACGGCCUUCGGGUUGUAAACCGCUUUCGCCUGUGACGAAGCGUGAGUGACGGUAAUGGGUAAAGAAGCACCGGCUAACUACGUG
RNAcentral lists this ribosomal RNA (468 nucleotides) under uncultured bacterium. RNAcentral describes it as "partial 16S ribosomal RNA". It matches the Rfam family "Bacterial small subunit ribosomal RNA", at positions 28 to 507 of the family's 1533-position model. The record is from RNAcentral.